Molecule: ribosomal RNA, 207 nt
Filed under: uncultured bacterium
Lineage: Bacteria
Description: partial 16S ribosomal RNA
Rfam family: Bacterial small subunit ribosomal RNA
Source: RNAcentral
UGCGUAGACGGUUAUGUAAGUCAGAUGUGAAAGCCCCGGGCUCAACCUGGGAAUUGCAUUUGAGACUGCAUAGCUAGGGUGCGGAAGAGGGAAGCGGAAUUUCCGGUGUAGCGGUGAAAUGCGUAGAUAUCGGAAGGAACACCAGUGGCGAAAGCGGCUUCCUGGUCCAGCACCGACGUUCAGGCACGAAAGCGUGGGGAGCAAACA